RNAcentral lists this ribosomal RNA (1055 nucleotides) under metagenome. Its description in RNAcentral is "bacterial SSU rRNA". It matches the Rfam family "Bacterial small subunit ribosomal RNA", at positions 551 to 1520 of the family's 1533-position model. The record is from RNAcentral.
UGAUUGGGCGUAAAGAGUUCUAAGGUUGCCUUUUGCAUUGUUGGAACGAUAAGGAUAGGGCCCAACCCUAUUUCGUUUUUUAAAUACUAUUAGGCUAGAGUUUAUCAGGGGGCGAUAGAAUUCACAGAUGAGGGGUAAAAUCCGAAGAUUUUGUGAGGAAAACCGGAGGCGAAGGCGAUCGCCUGGUAUAAACUGACACUACAUGAACGAAGGUGUGGGGAGCGAAAGGGAUUAGAGACCCCUGUAGUCCACACAGUAAACGAUGAGUGCUAAAUCUCUGAUGUAUUUUGGGGGUUACAGCUAACGCGUUAAGCACUCCGCCUGGGGAGUACGGUCGCAAGACUAAAACUCAAAGGAAUUGGCGGGGAUUCAUACAAGCGGUGGAACAUGUGGUUUAAUUCGAUAAUACGCGCAAAACCUUACCAACCCUUGACCGCUUCUACAAGAAAGCUCUUCUUGUAUUAGACACAGGUGUUGCAUGGCUGUCGUCAGCUCGUGUUGUGAGAUGUUUGGUUAAGUCCUUUAACGAGCGCAACCUUUAUCUUUAAAAACAAAUCGAUAUAAGAUCGAAUGUACGUUAAAGAAACAGCGGUAUAAUCUAGUUCUGAGCAUUNGGNCANUUAGAUUUUUCCCUUGGCAGAGAAAAGUUUAAGUUUAUAUGUCUCGUACGCUCUAUAGGCUAUCGAUGCUACAAGACCGAGGAAGGUGAAGAUGACGUCAAGUUUCAUGGCCCUUAUGGGUUGGGCUACACACAUGUUACAAUGGCAAUUACAAUAGGAAGCAAAGGUGCGAGCCGGAGCAAAGCCAAAAAGAUUGUCCCAGUUCGGAUUAUAGGCUGCAACUCGCCUAUAUGAAGUCGGAAUCGCUAGUAAUCGCGGAUCAGAACGCCGCGGUGAAAUUGUGCUUGAAUCUUGUACACACCGCCCGUCACACCCUGGGAAUCGAAGGUACUUAAAGCUAUGUCUCAAGGCUUUUAGCAACUUGAGUUCUGUUAGAGUACGGUCUUUGACUGGGGUGAAGUCGUAACAAGGUAGUCGUAGGGGAACCUGCGGCUG